UCCGUAGGCGGUGUGGCAAGUCGGAAGUGAAAUCUCUGGGCUUAACCCAGAGGCUGCUUCCGAAACUGCCGUGCUAGAGUGUGAGAGAGGCGAGUGGAAGUUGCGGGUGUAGCGGUGAAAUGCGUAGAUAUCCGCAGGAACAUCCGAGGCGAAAGCGGCUCGCUGGAUCACAACUGACGCUGAGGGACGAAAGCUAGGGGAGCAAACAGGAUUAGAUACCCUGGUAGUCCUAGCCCUAAACCAUCAGGACUUGGGGUUUGCCCUGUACGGGGCAAGUCCCGUAGCUAACGCGUUAAGUCCUGCGCCUGGGGAGUACGGUCGCAAGGCUGAA
RNAcentral lists this ribosomal RNA (331 nucleotides) under uncultured bacterium. Its description in RNAcentral is "bacterial SSU rRNA". It matches the Rfam family "Bacterial small subunit ribosomal RNA", at positions 568 to 898 of the family's 1533-position model. The record is from RNAcentral.